Molecule: transfer RNA, 239 nt
Filed under: Pneumocystis jirovecii
Lineage: Eukaryota; Fungi; Ascomycota; Pneumocystomycetes; Pneumocystales; Pneumocystaceae
Description: tRNA-Pseudo(AAT)
Source: RNAcentral
AUAUAUAUAUUAUAUAAAUAAUUAAAAUUAAUAUUAUGAAUACUUGAAUUACAAAUAUUUUAUUUUAAAAAUUAAAAAAUAAAUUAAUCUAUAAAACCAAAAGAUCAUUAACAUAUAUAUAAAUUAAGUAAAAAUAAGAUUAUUAAAAAUACAAAAAUUAGUUUUUUUUUUUUUUCAAAAACAAUUAUCUAAUAAAUAUAAAUUUAUUUUAAAUACUUUUUCAAAUAUUAUUAUAAAUA